RNAcentral lists this non-coding RNA (219 nucleotides) under Paramoeba aestuarina. Lineage: Eukaryota; Discosea; Flabellinia; Dactylopodida; Paramoebidae. The record is from RNAcentral.
AAGAGAGAAGAGAAGAAACCUGGGAUAUUGACACCCUUUAAAACUUUGAUUUGUACUUUCAUUUUGUCUUUUUCUGUUUUCAUUAAUGAACUCCAAUUUUUCACCUUGGAGGGGAGGGCCAAGAAGAGUCUUGGGACUGAACAAGUGAAUUUCUGAACUGAAUCUCUUGUGUUCUUUUUGUUUGAGGAGAAGCAAUUGAGAAAAAAAAAAAAAAAAAAA